This 400-nucleotide ribosomal RNA is filed under the name uncultured bacterium. RNAcentral's name for it is "partial 16S ribosomal RNA". It matches the Rfam family "Archaeal small subunit ribosomal RNA", at positions 473 to 873 of the family's 1478-position model. The record is from RNAcentral.
AUACCAGCACCCCGAGUGGUCGGGACGAUUAUUGGGCCUAAAGCAUCCGUAGCCGGUUCUACAAGUCUUCCGUUAAAUCCACCUGCUUAACAGAUGGGCUGCGGAGGAUACUAUGGAGCUAGGAGGCGGGAGAGGCGAGCGGUACUUAGUGGGUAGGGGGAAAAUCCGUAGAUCCAUUGAAGACCACCAGUGGCGAAGGCGGCUUGCCAGAACGCACUCGACGGUGAGGGAUGAAAGCUGGGGGAGCAAACCGGAUUAGAUACCCGGGUAGUCCCAGCUGUAAACGAUGCAGACUCGGUGAUGAAUAGGCUUCGUGCCUAUUCAGUGCCGCAGGGAAGACGUUAAGUCUGCCGCCUGGGGAGUACGGUCGCAAGACUGAAACUCAAAUGAAUUGGCGGGG